AUAGAGACUCAGAGCUGCAUAUCAAUAAGCGGAGGAAAAGAAACUAACAAGGAUUCCCUUAGUAACGGCGAGUGAAGCGGGAAGAGCUCAAAUUUGAAAUCUUCAAGGUUCUACCUUGACGAAUUGUAGUUUAUAGAAGUGUUUUCUGUUAGUAGAGUGGCAAAAGUUCUUUGGAAUAGGACAUCAUAGAGGGUGAGAAUCCCGUAUUUGGUCAUUCUUUCUAGCUUUGUGAUACACUUUCAACGAGUCGGAUUGUUUGGGAAUGCAGUCCAAAAUGGGUGGUAAGUUUCAUCUAAAGCUAAAUAUUGGCGAGAGACCGAUAGCGAACAAGUACCGUGAGGGAAAGAUGAAAAGAACUUUGAAAAGAGAGUUAAACAGUACGUGAAAUUGUCAAAAGGGAAGCGUUUGACACCAGUGUUGUUUUUCCGAAAAUCAAUUACGAAUGUUUUGUUUUUAAGAAGUUAUGACUUCAUCGGCUUGCUUCUCUCUUUACUGAAACUUUCUUAAUGCACUUUUCGGUUAACAAGUCAACAUCAAUUUCUUUUGUUGUAAAAGGGUACGAGGAAGGUGGCUUUCUUUUCGGAGAAAGUGUUUAUAGCCUUGUACCUCUGCAAUCGGAGAGAUUGAGGUCUGCAGCGUAGAUCCUUCGGGGCUAGAUACAUUUGUGCUAAGUUAUAGCUUUUCAUAGACAACUUGUUGACUAUGAUCAGUCAUGUAGCCUACUCGCUUAUGUCAUUAUACCUACGCUUAGGAUGUUGACGAGACUGUCGAUCUC
Molecule: ribosomal RNA, 775 nt
Filed under: uncultured Neocallimastigales
Lineage: Eukaryota; Fungi; Neocallimastigomycota; Neocallimastigomycetes; Neocallimastigales
Description: partial large subunit ribosomal RNA
Rfam family: Eukaryotic large subunit ribosomal RNA
Source: RNAcentral